GCGGCAACAGCUCAAAUUUGAAAUCUGGCGCAAGCCCGAGUUGUAAUUUGUAGAGGAUGCUUCUGGGUAGCGACCGAUCUAAGUUCCUUGGAACAGGACGUCAUAGAGGGUGAGAAUCCCGUAUGUGACCGGCCCGCACCCUUUACGUAGCUCCUUCGACGAGUCGAGUUGUUUGGGAAUGCAGCUCUAAAUGGGAGGUAAAUUUCUUCUAAAGCUAAAUACCGGCCAGAGACCGAUAGCGCACAAGUAGAGUGAUCGAAAGAUGAAAAGUACUUUGGAAAGAGAGUUAAAAAGCACGUGAAAUUGUUGAAAGGGAAGCGCCUGCAACCAGACUUCGCGGCAGUGUUCCGCCGGUCUUCUGACCGGUUCAUUCUCUGUCGCGAGGCCAUCAUCGUCUGGGCCCGCCGGAUAAGACCUUAGGAAUGUAGCUCACCUUCGGGGGAGUGUUAUAGCCUAUGGUGAUGCGGCGAGGCUCGGGCGAGGUCCGCGCUUCGGCAAGGAUGAUGGCGUAAUGGUUGUCGGCGGCCCGUCUUGAAACACGGACCAAGGAGUCUAACAUCUAUGCGAGUGUUCGGGUGUCAAACCCCUACGCGUAAUGAAAGUGAACGGAGGUGGGAACCGCAAGGUGCACCAUCGACCGAUCCUGAUGUCCUCGGAUGGAUUUGAGUAAGAGCAUAGCUGUUGGGACCCGAAAGAUGGUGAACUAUGCCUGAAUAGGGUGAAGCCAGAGGAAACUCUGGUGGAGGCUCGCAGCGGUUCUGACGUGCAAAUCGAUCGUCAAAUUUGGGUAUAGGG
This 795-nucleotide ribosomal RNA is filed under the name Septoria firouraghina. RNAcentral describes it as "Septoria sp. MB-2019b partial large subunit ribosomal RNA". It matches the Rfam family "Eukaryotic large subunit ribosomal RNA", at positions 98 to 922 of the family's 3401-position model. Lineage: Eukaryota; Fungi; Ascomycota; Dothideomycetes; Mycosphaerellales; Mycosphaerellaceae. The record is from RNAcentral.